RNAcentral lists this non-coding RNA (95 nucleotides) under human gut metagenome. RNAcentral describes it as "TPP riboswitch (THI element)". The stretch from base 4 to 83 matches the Rfam family "TPP riboswitch aptamer (THI element)", at positions 11 to 88 of the family's 105-position model. Rfam says of the family: Vitamin B(1) in its active form thiamin pyrophosphate (TPP) is an essential coenzyme that is synthesised by coupling of pyrimidine and thiazole moieties in bacteria. The record is from RNAcentral.
AAACGGGGUGCUGCAAAUGCGGCUGAGAUUGACCGAAGCGGUCAGAACCCGAGAACCUGAUCCGGAUAAUGCCGGCGUAGGAAAAAGGCGAAUUC